AAUCAUGUUCCAAGAGUUCAAUUUCUCUAAAACAGAAAGAAAGAAAAAACUGUUCUUUAAUGGCUUCCCAACUCAACUCAGAUCAAUUUGACUCCAUGCAUGCAAACUUUGAAGUUUUGCAAUGUUCAUAUAUUACAUGUUCUUUAUUGUUCAUCAUGUCGUGGAACAUUGCAGCUCUAAUUAAUUAAGCAACUAUAAGCCCCG
Molecule: long non-coding RNA, 204 nt
Filed under: Lupinus angustifolius (narrow-leaved blue lupine)
Lineage: Eukaryota; Viridiplantae; Streptophyta; Magnoliopsida; Fabales; Fabaceae
Description: long non-coding RNA (LANG_LNC000394)
Source: RNAcentral